RNAcentral lists this ribosomal RNA (218 nucleotides) under uncultured bacterium. Its description in RNAcentral is "partial 16S ribosomal RNA". It matches the Rfam family "Bacterial small subunit ribosomal RNA", at positions 18 to 232 of the family's 1533-position model. The record is from RNAcentral.
CCUGGCUCAGAUUGAACGCUGGCGGCAUGCCUAACACAUGCAAGUCGAACGGCAGCACGGUCUAGUUUACUAGAUGGGUGGCGAGUGGCGGACGGGUGAGUAAUGCGCAGGAAUAUGCCUUAAAGUGGGGGACAACUUGGGGAAACUCAAGCUAAUACCGCGUAAUCUCUUCGGAGAAAAGCUGGGGACCUUCGGGCCUGGCGCUUUAAGAUUAGCCU